UUAAGCGACUAAGCGUACACGGUGGAUGCCCUGGCAGUCAGAGGCGAUGAAGGACGUGCUAAUCUGCGAUAAGCGUCGGUAAGGUGAUAUGAACCGUUAUAACCGGCGAUUUCCGAAUGGGGAAACCCAGUGUGAUCCGUCACACUAUCAUUAACUGAAUCCAUAGGUUAAUGAGGCGAACCGGGGGAACUGAAACAUCUAAGUACCCCGAGGAAAAGAAAUCAACCGAGAUUCCCCCAGUAGCGGCGAGCGAACGGGGAGCAGCCCAGAGCCUGAAUCAGUGUGUGUGUUAGUGGAAGCGUCUGGAAAGGCGUGCGAUACAGGGUGACAGCCCCGUACACAAAAAUGCACAUGCUGUGAGCUCGAUGAGUAGGGCGGGACACGUGGUAUCCUGUCUGAAUAUGGGGGGACCAUCCUCCAAGGCUAAAUACUCCUGACUGACCGAUAGUGAACCAGUACCGUGAGGGAAAGGCGAAAAGAACCCCGGCGAGGGGAGUGAAAAAGAACCUGAAACCGUGUACGUACAAGCAGUGGGAGCCUCUUUAUGGGGUGACUGCGUACCUUUUGUAUAAUGGGUCAGCGACUUAUAUUCUGUAGCAAGGUUAACCGAAUAGGGGAGCCGAAGGGAAACCGAGUCUUAACUGGGCGUUAAGUUGCAGGGUAUAGACCCGAAACCCGGUGAUCUAGCCAUGGGCAGGUUGAAGGUUGGGUAACACUAACUGGAGGACCGAACCGACUAAUGUUGAAAAAUUAGCGGAUGACUUGUGGCUGGGGGUGAAAGGCCAAUCAAACCGGGAGAUAGCUGGUUCUCCCCGAAAGCUAUUUAGGUAGCGCCUCGUGAAUUCAUCUCCGGGGGUAGAGCACUGUUUCGGCAAGGGGGUCAUCCCGACUUACCAACCCGAUGCAAACUGCGAAUACCGGAGAAUGUUAUCACGGGAGACACACGGCGGGUGCUAACGUCCGUCGUGAAGAGGGAAACAACCCAGACCGCCAGCUAAGGUCCCAAAGUCAUGGUUAAGUGGGAAACGAUGUGGGAAGGCCCAGACAGCCAGGAUGUUGGCUUAGAAGCAGCCAUCAUUUAAAGAAAGCGUAAUAGCUCACUGGUCGAGUCGGCCUGCGCGGAAGAUGUAACGGGGCUAAACCAUGCACCGAAGCUGCGGCAGCGACACUAUGUGUUGUUGGGUAGGGGAGCGUUCUGUAAGCCGUUGAAGGUGGCCUGUGAGGGUUGCUGGAGGUAUCAGAAGUGCGAAUGCUGACAUAAGUAACGAUAAAGCGGGUGAAAAGCCCGCUCGCCGGAAGACCAAGGGUUCCUGUCCAACGUUAAUCGGGGCAGGGUGAGUCGACCCCUAAGGCGAGGCCGAAAGGCGUAGUCGAUGGGAAACAGGUUAAUAUUCCUGUACUUGGUGUUACUGCGAAGGGGGGACGGAGAAGGCUAUGUUGGCCGGGCGACGGUUGUCCCGGUUUAAGCGUGUAGGCUGAUUUUCCAGGCAAAUCCGGAGAAUCAAGGCUGAGGCGUGAUGACGAGGCACUACGGUGCUGAAGCAACAAAUGCCCUGCUUCCAGGAAAAGCCUCUAAGCAUCAGGUAACAUCAAAUCGUACCCCAAACCGACACAGGUGGUCAGGUAGAGAAUACCAAGGCGCUUGAGAGAACUCGGGUGAAGGAACUAGGCAAAAUGGUGCCGUAACUUCGGGAGAAGGCACGCUGAUGGUAGGUGAAGCGACUUGCUCGUGGAGCUGAAAUCAGUCGAAGAUACCAGCUGGCUGCAACUGUUUAUUAAAAACACAGCACUGUGCAAACACGAAAGUGGACGUAUACGGUGUGACGCCUGCCCGGUGCCGGAAGGUUAAUUGAUGGGGUCAGCCGCAAGGCGAAGCUCUUGAUCGAAGCCCCGGUAAACGGCGGCCGUAACUAUAACGGUCCUAAGGUAGCGAAAUUCCUUGUCGGGUAAGUUCCGACCUGCACGAAUGGCGUAAUGAUGGCCAGGCUGUCUCCACCCGAGACUCAGUGAAAUUGAACUCGCUGUGAAGAUGCAGUGUACCCGCGGCAAGACGGAAAGACCCCGUGAACCUUUACUAUAGCUUGACACUGAACAUUGAGCCUUGAUGUGUAGGAUAGGUGGGAGGCUUUGAAGUGUGGACGCCAGUCUGCAUGGAGCCGACCUUGAAAUACCACCCUUUAAUGUUUGAUGUUCUAACGUGGACCCGUGAUCCGGGUUGCGGACAGUGUCUGGUGGGUAGUUUGACUGGGGCGGUCUCCUCCUAAAGAGUAACGGAGGAGCACGAAGGUUGGCUAAUCCUGGUCGGACAUCAGGAGGUUAGUGCAAUGGCAUAAGCCAGCUUGACUGCGAGCGUGACGGCGCGAGCAGGUGCGAAAGCAGGUCAUAGUGAUCCGGUGGUUCUGAAUGGAAGGGCCAUCGCUCAACGGAUAAAAGGUACUCCGGGGAUAACAGGCUGAUACCGCCCAAGAGUUCAUAUCGACGGCGGUGUUUGGCACCUCGAUGUCGGCUCAUCACAUCCUGGGGCUGAAGUAGGUCCCAAGGGUAUGGCUGUUCGCCAUUUAAAGUGGUACGCGAGCUGGGUUUAGAACGUCGUGAGACAGUUCGGUCCCUAUCUGCCGUGGGCGCUGGAGAACUGAGGGGGGCUGCUCCUAGUACGAGAGGACCGGAGUGGACGCAUCACUGGUGUUCGGGUUGUCAUGCCAAUGGCACUGCCCGGUAGCUAAAUGCGGAAGAGAUAAGUGCUGAAAGCAUCUAAGCACGAAACUUGCCCCGAGAUGAGUUCUCCCUGAGACUUUAAGUCUCCUGAAGGAACGUUGAAGACGACGACGUUGAUAGGCCGGGUGUGUAAGCGCAGCGAUGCGUUGAGCUAACCGGUACUAAUGAACCGUGAGGCUUAACCUU
RNAcentral lists this ribosomal RNA (2901 nucleotides) under Escherichia marmotae. RNAcentral describes it as "23S ribosomal RNA". It matches the Rfam family "Bacterial large subunit ribosomal RNA". The record is from RNAcentral. Lineage: Bacteria; Pseudomonadati; Pseudomonadota; Gammaproteobacteria; Enterobacterales; Enterobacteriaceae.